UUUGUUAUUAAAUAAUCUACCAGAAGUUUAAUUCUCAGCAUAUCCACGUUACAGAGGAUACCAAUUUUCUGCUUCAAUGCACUGUACUUGUCAACACUAAUUUUCCACUACAAAUCAAAACCCAGUUUCCAAAAAUGACUGCUCAUCAAGUGGCAGCUAUCAGUUGGACCUCUGCAAUUCAUUUUGGCAAAUACAAACAAGAUUUCCCCAGGGCCUUUUAGAACAUAUAUACUUAUUUACAGCAGAAUUGCAAGGCAGUUUUAGCCACUCGUUUGAUAAGAAAGGAAGAUAUGUUCUACAUUUCAGUCCCAUGACAGAAAUAUAAAGGAGUACCAAACUGCUCCCACUUGCAAAGCUACAUGCAAAAAACAAUUGGCAUUUCAGAAUUCCAGGCUACUUGUUGUACUGCACACUUCCAGUCACAAAGCAGGGCGUCAGGUUUGAAACGCAAUUCAAUUUUUUUCUUUUCCUGAAGAGUACUGAAUUGAGAAAGAAAGGCAACUGUGAAGAAACAUUUUCCUUCCUCAAAAGUCUGCUGUCGGAAUUUUAAAAUUUGUCAUGAAAGAUACAGUGCAAGCAGUGAGGUAAGUAAUAAUCACAUUUCUGUAGGCAAAGAGCAGUUUCCAAUCAACUUCCCACUUAAAGAAGGAACAAAAUGUGAUUUUAUAGGUGUUGGGGAUGUAAAUAAAAUCAACCUUAGGGAUGACACGAUGUAUGAUUCCAUGACUGCAACAUAACUGAGGAAUGCCUUUCCUCAGCCAGACCCACAGCUCUGACCAGGUAGGAUGGUCAGAUCAACCCAAUAGCUUCCACAGCUUCUUCUGGGUCUGCUGUCAUCAUCAUACCUAUAUUCCAUAGCAGCAAAACUACUCACAUCCUUGCCUAGCUAACCAUGAAGAGAACUUCUAAGAGAACUAUAACAUCAGCAAACUUAUUCUAGCUGUAGAACAUAGUUUGACCUACAUGCUACCCAAAUUGAAUUUUAUACAUGGCACAGCAGAAUCUGAAGUGGAGGAGGCACUGCAAAAAGUCUUUCGGAAGGAUCAGAUUCAGCAUAAAUUGCCAAAGAAGAUAACGUAGAUAAUUAAAAACUAUGCUUUCGAGCUUAAGCUACAUCCACAGCUGCUUGCAAUGUGGUUAUUGCAGAUGAGCUUUAUGGCUCAUGCCAAAGCUGUUGCAUUCACAGUGCUGCUUUGCAAUGUCAAUAAAUAAAAAGAAAAAAACGAUAUAUUCUCAUGUAGAUGUACUUUGUGGUUUCCAGGCAAAAUUAAUGAGAAAUAUAUCUCAGUUUCUUUUGUUAAGAAUAACUUAAUUGGCCUAUCGAAUCACUUUAAAAGACAUUUAUGUGUCAGAAGCAAUAGUGCUUCCCAUCUUCUGUUCACUGCUAUCUUAAUUGAGACUGAAGAUGGGGAAGAGUUAUUGUACUUCAGAUCCCCUUACAGUUACAGUUUAGCACUGUAUUUCAAGAGUAAGGCCUGGGCUGACAUGCCUUGAUUAAGCACUAAUGAAUUACAAACACAUCGAAUACUGCAGCUGGUGCUACCUCUUCAUUUAAAGAACCACUGAUGCAAAUGUUUUCUUCCCAGGGAAUACAGAAAGCCAUAGGAGGGAGGAAACCAAGUGCUUAUGUCCUGUGUAACAUCAGGGAACAGCACCUUCUCCAAGGGUGGAGAGGAAAGGGUUCUUUCAUCCUGUGUUCUCCCACAGCUUUUAUAUAUAUAUAUAUAUAUUUUAUAUACAUAUAUAUAUAUAUAUAAACUAUAUACAUACAACUGGGAUUUGGACAAAUUGCAAUCAAAAAUGUAAACUGAUGGUGAGGGCAUUGUGACAUUUCUUUAUCAUUUUUAUAGACUUUCUCUCUGAUGGAUUUACACAUUUUCCCCUGUGAUUAAAGUAAUUGUUAUUGGGUGUACAGUGCAGAAUAAACAACAAGGACUCAUAAAGGCAACCUGGCUACUAAAAGGAACCUAGAUACGGAAAGACUGCUUCAUUCUCAGUGCUACAUCCAUCCUAUCCUAGAACAGCAGCAGCAGCAUCAGUCCAGCUUUUCUAAGUGAUGACAGAGGAGUAAGAGAAAGCAAAAUUGCAUGCUCAUAUCGAACACAGUGAACAUCAGGCUUAGGUUUGAUGUCCACAGCAGUUCUCUUCCAUGCAAAACCACUGAGAAAUAUCAGAAAGCUCCUUCUGCAGGUUGGAGACCCUGCCUGUGUCAUGGGGGUUGGAACUCGGUGAUCCUUGGGUGCCUUCCAACCCAAGCCAUUCUAUGAUUCUGUGAUUCUAAAUUGCUUUUUUUCUUUUUCUUUCUUUUUUUUUUUUUUUCCCUUUUCAGUAUUUGCAGGUACUUGCACCAGACAGAAGCCCAUUUUUGUCAAGGAGAAGACUUCUGCUUUCAUCUGCUGCUUUCAGAAAUAGCUGCUCUAGUAUGAGUAAAUGAUGUGUUUUCCAGGAGUUGAAAGACUCGCAGUCUGUUUAGCACUCAGUGCUCCAUUGUGGACUUCAUGCUGAUCCAACCCUUGGCCAUCUGACCCAUUCCUGAAUGGAGGCUCUUCUGGACAUUAUCAGCAGUCGGGGGCAAAAGCAAGACCCUUACAUUAGACAUUAAGAUGAUUAAGUCAUCUUCAGGAAUAGUAAUAGACAGAAGUGAUGUUCCAAUGCUGAGCAUCAUUCAGAGAGAAAAAUAACAGGUAUGGGGUAGGGAAAAGAUCAGGAAGCAGUUUAGGUUUAACGUUCAAUGAACGCUCACUCACAUUCCACAAAAGGUUAUAAGCUGUAUUAUUCCCUGGAACUCAGAAGUAAUAUCAGUCAGUGAUCUUUGUGCAAAUCAGGGGUUGUAAAGCACUGUGUAAACCAGCUGAGACCUCCUUCUAAAUGUCAUGCUGAAAUCAGAAUGUGAACAGCACGACAGAAGCAAAACUAAGAGUACAGUAGGUGAAAUUAGAUGCUGUGCCAUAUGAACAGCUGUUUGCAUAACACUCUGACGAUUUAAAGGCAUCUGUUCUGCAGCCCAUUCUCUAUUGCUAACAUCCACUGUAUCAGAAAUCAAGCCUCCUUCAUACACGGUUUGUGUCCCUCAUUUCUGUGACUUAUUUCAGUGCUGCUCUCUGAACGGCUGGAGAAAGCAGGCUGAAAUUCUGCUCACGUAGGCUGAAGCAACAUGAAGCAACUCCCAUUUUUUUCACUUCCUGAUCACUGGAGUCUAAUGUGUCUUUGCAUCUAAAUAAACUAUUUGCAUGACAAGCAGACAUCUGUAUGACAUUGUUAGCCCUCCGUUAGCUAAUAUCCUUCUGUGGUAUUUCAAAUGCUCAAUCUCCUAUCGCAUAUUAGAAAGACCCGACUGGUGCAAUAGAUCCAUUAGAAUGGAUUUUUAAGAAUGUUCACUCUAUUUGGAUAAAUAAAGGGAAAAAAAGAGAAGGAAAGCUCUUCAUUCAUUUUCAAGAUGUUAUGCAAAUAUUCUCAGAUCACAUACCAAAGAGAAGACUGCAAAUGAUGAGAGGAUGGCCCAGGGUCAAGAUGGAUGACACUAACAACAUGUGCCUAGCAAUGCAAUUGGAGGUGACGGUAGAAAGCAUGCCAAAUUCUCUGCUUUGACAUUUCAAUACAUCUCAGUGUGACAUCGGCCCACAGCUCUGCUGUCCCAACGCCUCAACACGCAGCUGAUCUCACCGGUGCACUCCCCUCACCUUGUGAACACAGCAUUCUGCCAGCUGAGCCUUCCUUUCAUUUGGACAGAGACGUGCUGGGACAGCAACCAAUUUAAAAUGACUCUUCCUGACUGCAACAGAUGAUGAAAGAUUAAGAGGGAAGCAGGAUGUGCCUGAAAACACCUUGAAAAAUGACACCAGAGCCACCACCAAUGUACACAUUUACUGUGAAAUGACAGCUUGACUCACCCACCUUGCAGCUCUUCUAUGGUUUAAGAAACAUGGAAAGAAAGAGUAAAAUGAGUUCUUCAGCUAUGCAGAACGAAUAUGAAGAGAGACAGUUCCCAUACCUUAUCAUCUGGUUUGAAUCACAGAACCGUAGAAUCAUUAAGGUUGAAAAAGACCACUAGUCCAACUGUUGAUCCCUCCCCACUGUGCCCACAUGUUCCAGAUAGAAUUCUAGAAUUAUUAAGGUCAGAAGAGAUCGCUAAGAUGACCCAGUCCAACCUCAACCCAUCCCCACCAUGCCCACUAACCAUGUCCCCCCAGUGCCACAUCUCCA
RNAcentral lists this long non-coding RNA (4203 nucleotides) under Gallus gallus (chicken). RNAcentral describes it as "lncRNA (ENSGALG00010023858.1)". Lineage: Eukaryota; Metazoa; Chordata; Aves; Galliformes; Phasianidae. The record is from RNAcentral.